RNA transcript from Brassica napus (rape), 1636 nucleotides. RefSeq lists it as uncharacterized. The transcript has 3 exons. The record is from RefSeq and is a predicted model, not a curated record. Lineage: Eukaryota; Viridiplantae; Streptophyta; Magnoliopsida; Brassicales; Brassicaceae.
AAAAUCAACCAAUAGGAGAUCAGAUAUUCGCCACGUCAGACGCUCCGCGCGUGUCAUUUGGGCCUCGCAUUCUACAGGCCCGAUAGUGUUCGGAAUCGAAAAGUCUGUGUCUCUCUGAAGUCCCCUUUCUCCUUUGCACGAAGAACCAACCCUAAUUUAUCAAAAUGGAUCUUCGAUCCCCUUUCUCUUCCUCUUCUCUGUUUACUACGUUACACGAAUCUUUAUGGCUCGGAGGAGGAGCGGAGGGAGGCGGUUUCUAGUGUUUCUUGAUGCACGAUGGGCACGAGCAGCGACCCGAUCCAAGACGGUUCCGAUGAGCAGCAGAAACGAUCAGAGAUCUACACAUACGAAGCGCCAUGGCAGUCUACGCAAUGAACUGGAGCGUCCGCUGCGACAAAAAGUACCAUCUCGCCAUCACCAGCCUCCUCGAGCAGUACCCGAACCGAGUCGAAAUCGUCCAGCUCGACGAGUCUAAUGGCGAGAUCCGCUCCGAUCCCAACCUCGCCUUCGAGCACCCUUACCCUCACACAAAGACCAUCUUCAUCCCGGAUAAGGAAUGCCAGCGCCCCGAUCUCCUCGCCACCUCCAGCGACUUCCUCCACCUAUGGCGAAUCGCCGACGAUCACUCCCGCAUCGAGCUCAAGUCGUGCCUCAACAGCACUUUCUCGGUUUGGAAUGUACAAGGUUGAGCUUUUGUGCAAGACAGUUUCGGACACCAGGAUGAGAUCCUAGCCAUUGAUGCGCUGAGGAAGGAGCGUGCACUUACUCUUGGAAGAGAUAGAACCAUGCUAUUACACAAGAUGUCUGAGACCAGUCGUACGAUUUACCGUGCACCUGCAUCGUCUCUUGAGAGAUGCUGUUUCAUCAGUGAGACUGAGUACCUGUCUGGUUCGGACAGGAAUGCACUGUUGAAAAAGAAACCAGUGUUUCUCCUUAAGAAUGCACAUUCCGUUUUAGUUGGUGUAAUCACCACUAAUGGUAAUUGAAUCUUAACAUCAUUUAGUUGCAGAGAUCAUGAUGCUUUCUUCUUUUCCUAAACCAGAAAAUGGUGAUCAUGAUUGUGUGGAGUAUAGCAACUCUUCCACAACGAGUUCUUGGGUGAGUUCAGCUGCUGUGUGAAGAGGUAGUGACUUUGCCGCAUCUGGAGCUGGUAAUGGUUUUGUGCAUUUGAUGGUUGUUGAAGCAAGUGCCCUUUGGAUCUUUAUUCAAGCUUCCACUGAUAAAGUUUAUUUCCUUAAUGUUUUCUAAUAUUAUGUUGAUGCAUCUGUUGUUUCUGAGAGUGGUUAAGAGAAAAGCAUUUCACUUCACCAAGUAGUAAUCUCACAGUGCUUCUUUUAUCAUGUUAGAAGACUGGAUUUGUGAACUCUAUGGCAUUUGCAAAAUCUGGUAAAUUUUUGAUUGCUGGUGUUGGACAGAGACGAGAUUUGGAAGAUGGGGAUGCAUAAAAUCUGCACAGAAUGGUGUGGCAAUACAUCCCUUAAGGCUGUCAUAAGGAUUUAAUGAAGAGUUGGUACUUGUAUUUUUCUGAAUCUCAAGUUAUGUAAUGGCUUCUACUACAAGAAGUUUUGCUCCCUUUUUGUUUGUUUUAUUGUACCCUAUUUUUUUAUAAUACAAGAGUGAGAAGAACUUUAACUUU